Setaria italica (foxtail millet) is the source of this 1043-nucleotide RNA transcript. RefSeq lists it as uncharacterized. The transcript is spliced from 3 exons. The record is from RefSeq and is a predicted model, not a curated record. NCBI's taxonomy places the organism in Eukaryota, Viridiplantae, Streptophyta, Magnoliopsida, Poales, Poaceae.
AUCAACGGCUUUGGACCGUCGAUUCAAGAUCUAACGUAUCAAACGGGUCUCCAGCUGUGCAUCCACUGCCAAUCCACCACCGUCGCUCGCUUCCGCUCCCUCGUGCUCCCUCCCCCUCCCUUCCCCUCCCCUCCGAUGGCGGCACUCGCCGGAAUCCUAGCUCCGUCCCUUCUCCCUCUCCCCCUCCGCCUCCCGCAUAGCUCGCUCCCCCACCCCAGACUCCUCACCCCAGCCUCCUCCUCCUCCUCGCUCCGCCCGCGAGCCCCCCGCCUCACGGUCGCCCACGCGGCUUCCGGCGACAACGGCGGGCCCCCGGCGGACGGGGACAAGGAGCGGAAAGGCCCGUCCCUCCCGGCGCUGUCGGAGAUCCGGUGGGGGGAGCUGCUGUCCCCGCAGCCCGCCAACGCCGCGGCCGUGGUGCUCACGGGCGCGCUCGCCUGGGCCGGCGCCUCGCUGCUGCUGCAGCUCGUGCUCAUCUUCGCGGCGAUCUUCGCCGCAGCGGUUAAGUACUCCUUCGUCGCCGCAAUCCUGCUCUUCGUCCUCAUCGCGCUCCUGUGACCGACCCGCCCGCUCAGAAACUAAGAGAUUGAGAACCAAGUACUGCAACUUAAGGCUUCAUACAACUUUAUUGGUUUUUGAUAGCCUUCACUUUGUAUUGGCCUUGAAGCUGAGAUGGUACUAGUCGUAAACAGACACUGGCUUCACGUUCCUCUCAAAUCGAACACACAUGCAGUGACAGCACCUGCUUCUAUAUAGCAAUCCACCUUCAAGGGAAUAUGUCUUAAGCAAGUAUUGGUUGCAUUGCUGCACGGCACUUGAAAGCACCUUGCAGGUCAUUGUACAUCUUUAUUUAUGCUCUUGUAGAUUCUCAUGAAUAUUGUAAUAUGGUACAGUUUGUAUACUGGUUGUAUAUUUAUGUUAUGAUUAACUUAACUCAUCUUGUAAGAUCCUGUUCCGAUGUAAGGACAAAUCCAUUGUUUUCCCCACUAAAUAUUGCUUACCUUGAUAAUAACGACUUUCAUGUCGGCGGAUUUGCUUUUUAA